Molecule: long non-coding RNA, 439 nt
Organism: Gigantopelta aegis
Lineage: Eukaryota; Metazoa; Mollusca; Gastropoda; Neomphalida; Peltospiridae
Exons: 3
Source: RefSeq, a predicted model, not a curated record
CAGACAGGGUUGUCGACAAAUACACACAUAUUAUACAAAAUGGCACACCGUGGAUAUUUGAGGAAUUGCAGAGAAUGGUGUGGAAUUUGAUAAACAGGUUCAUGACUGUUGAAAUACAACAGCAAUUCAACAUGCAAGGUCAGAACCGACGCAAAUUUGCAUUUGGAAAAACAGCUCUUUGCAGGGUUAUAGAAGAUGCCGUCUUGCAGAGCCAUGAUACAACAGUUUCCUUGAUAUGUGACAAGCUAGCAAACUACCUACGCUAUGCGUACUCAAGAAAGAACAAGGCUUGACUCAUACAACAGUUUCCUUGAUACAUGAAAAGAUAGCAUACUACCUAUGCUAUGCAUACUCUAGAAAGAACAAAACUUGACUCAUGAUGUGAUGUUGAAAUUAGUGUACCGUAUUUAAAAAAAAAAAAUGAAUGAAAACAAUAUUG